This is a long non-coding RNA of Drosophila santomea, 859 nucleotides long. RefSeq lists it as uncharacterized. NCBI's taxonomy places the organism in Eukaryota, Metazoa, Arthropoda, Insecta, Diptera, Drosophilidae. The record is from RefSeq and is a predicted model, not a curated record. The transcript is spliced from 3 exons.
CUCAGUCAGUGGUCGGCAGCGAUCGGAUGGAACUCAUCAACCAACUCAACCAGCCAGCUCUACAGCUGGAUCUCCCAGUGGUAAAUAUAAUAAACCAGGAUAGUAAGUGUUCAUUCCUAUUGCCUUUGCUGACUGGGGGGUCCAACAACAACUCUCUUUGCUGACUUCAGGGUCCAAAAACAAUAACAAUUGUCAUUGCUGACUUCAGGGCGCUAACAUCAAUUCUCCCCGCCGACUUUCGGGUCCGAUAACACGAGGGAGCCGUUUACAGCCGGAGGAUCCAGACGCGAGAAGCUCCACCCACGGAUACCGUUUGCAAAUUACAUUUUUAGAUUCCGUCAGAAACUCGAGUUUCAAAGGCCGAGAAAAUCGUAUGCUUUGCGGAAAACGAUUGUUCCACAACACGUUGCAUAAUACAUGAUACAUCAUACAUCAUAAUCAGCCUUAGUUCGAAUUCGAACAAGGCGCGUGGGCGCGCCCAAACGAGCCACGGGCCACACUAAAUCGGGUAAAUCGAUAGCACAAGCAAAAUCGAUGGACCCAGCCAAUCCCUAUAUAAAGCGGGCGGCUGGCCUCUGGGAACUCAGUCAGUGGUCGGCAGCGAUCGGAUGGAACUCAUCAACCAACUCAACCAGCCAGCUCUACAGCUGGAUCUCCCAGUGGUCCAACAACAAUUCUCUUUGCUGAAUGGGGGGUCCAACAACAACUCUCUUUGCUGACUUCAGGGUCCAAAAACAAUAACAAUUGUCAUUGCUGACUUCAAGGCACUAACAUCAAUUCUCCCCGCCGACUUUCGGGUCCGAUAACAACACGAGGGAGCCGUUUACAGCCGGAGGAUCCAGACGCGAGAAGAUCCUCC